Molecule: ribosomal RNA, 1561 nt
Filed under: Campylobacter jejuni
Lineage: Bacteria; Pseudomonadati; Campylobacterota; Epsilonproteobacteria; Campylobacterales; Campylobacteraceae
Description: partial 23S ribosomal RNA
Rfam family: Bacterial large subunit ribosomal RNA
Source: RNAcentral
AGGUAAGCUACUAAGAGCGAAUGGUGGAUGCCUUGACUGGUAAAGGCGAUGAAGGACGUACUAGACUGCGAUAAGCUACGGGGAGCUGUCAAGAAGCUUUGAUCCGUAGAUUUCCGAAUGGGGCAACCCAAUGUAUAGAGAUAUGCAUUACCUAUAUAGGAGCGAACGAGGGGAAUUGAAACAUCUUAGUACCCUCAGGAAAAGAAAUCAAUAGAGAUUGCGUCAGUAGCGGCGAGCGAAAGCGCAAGAGGGCAAACCCAGUGCUUGCACUGGGGGUUGUAGGACUGCAAUGUGCAAGAGGUAAGUUUAGCAGAACAUUCUGGAAAGUAUAACCAUAGAGGGUGAUAGUCCCGUAUGCGAAAAACAAACCUUAGCUAGCAGUAUCCUGAGUAGGGCGGGACACGAGGAAUCCUGUCUGAAUCCGGGUCGACCACGAUCCAACCCUAAAUACUAAUACCAGAUCGAUAGUGCACAAGUACCGUGAGGGAAAGGUGAAAAGAACUGAGGUGAUCAGAGUGAAAUAGAACCUGAAACCAUUUGCUUACAAUCAUUCAGAGCCCUAUGUAGGAAUACAGGGUGAUGGACUGCCUUUUGCAUAAUGAGCCUGCGAGUUGUGGUGUCUGGCAAGGUUAAGCAAACGCGAAGCCGUAGCGAAAGCGAGUCUGAAUAGGGCGCUUAGUCAGAUGCUGCAGACCCGAAACGAAGUGAUCUAUCCAUGAGCAAGUUGAAGCUAGUGUAAGAACUAGUGGAGGACUGAACCCAUAGGCGUUGAAAAGCCCCGGGAUGACUUGUGGAUAGGGGUGAAAGGCCAAUCAAACUUCGUGAUAGCUGGUUCUCUCCGAAAUAUAUUUAGGUAUAGCGUUGUGUCGUAAUAUAAGGGGGUAGAGCACUGAAUGGGCUAGGGCAUACACCAAUGUACCAAACCCUAUCAAACUCCGAAUACCUUAUAUGUAAUCACAGCAGUCAGGCGGCGAGUGAUAAAAUCCGUCGUCAAGAGGGAAACAACCCAGACUACCAGCUAAGGUCCCUAAAUCUUACUUAAGUGGAAAACGAUGUGAAGUUACUUAAACAACCAGGAGGUUGGCUUAGAAGCAGCCAUCCUUUAAAGAAAGCGUAAUAGCUCACUGGUCUAGUGAUUUUGCGCGGAAAAUAUAACGGGGCUAAAGUAAGUACCGAAGCUGUAGACUUAGUUUACUAAGUGGUAGGAGAGCGUUCUAUUUGCGUCGAAGGUAUACCGGUAAGGAGUGCUGGAGCGAAUAGAAGUGAGCAUGCAGGCAUGAGUAGCGAUAAUUAAUGUGAGAAUCAUUAACGCCGUAAACCCAAGGUUUCCUACGCGAUGCUCGUCAUCGUAGGGUUAGUCGGGUCCUAAGUCGAGUCCGAAAGGGGUAGACGAUGGCAAAUUGGUUAAUAUUCCAAUACCAACAUUAGUGUGCGAUGGAAGGACGCUUAGGGCUAAGGGGGCUAGCGGAUGGAAGUGCUAGUCUAAGGUCGUAGGAGGUUGUACAGGCAAAUCCGUAUAACAAUACUCCGAGAACUGAAAGGCUUUUUGAAGUCUUCGGAU